UUGAAGCAUGUCUUUACCGAUGCGCUCCAACUCUAGGUCAUUGCAGGUCCUAUUGGAUCCAAAUGCACAUGAUUUGAAGAACUCCCAAAAAACAACAUCUUGCAAACCCUCCAACUCGUAGCUCUUCAUGCCAGCACAGACUAGAUUAGCAACCUCAUAAAAUCUAGUGGUGACCAAAAUCAUACUUCCUUGAAGGGCAUUUCUCAAAGGUAUGCAAAAUUUGCCCCACUCCGCGCCACCAUUUCUCAAUGUAUCACCCCACAUGUCAUCAAGGACAAGUAACAACUUCUUAGAUUCUACAGAACAAGCCAGUUUUCUCACGAGAUUAUUCAGAUUAUCAGAUAUUGUAUCUUGUUCCAUCUGCUCCAGAAUCUCUUUAAUUAACCUCUUUGCGUCAACAUCAUCAGAAACACAAGUCCAAAUUAUGCAGUCAAAGUGCUCCUGCACUUCUGCAUCAUCACAGAUUUGUUGUGCAAUAGUUGUUUUUCCGACACCCCCCAUACCAAAUAUGGGAA
Molecule: ribosomal RNA, 515 nt
Filed under: Triticum aestivum (bread wheat)
Lineage: Eukaryota; Viridiplantae; Streptophyta; Magnoliopsida; Poales; Poaceae
Description: partial small subunit ribosomal RNA
Source: RNAcentral